This is a ribosomal RNA of 4579 nucleotides. The stretch from base 1 to 3234 matches the Rfam family "Bacterial large subunit ribosomal RNA".
AAUAGGAAUUAAGGGCGUAUGGUGGAUGCCUUGACUCAAAGAGGCGAUGAAGGACGCGGCAUGGCUGCGAUAAGCUUCGGGGAGACGCCGAGCAGUCUUUGAUCCGAAGAUUUCCGAAUGGGGACAAACCCGUUCCGCUAAAAGCGGAAUAUCUCCCGACUAACGUCGGGAGAAGCGAACCCUGGGAAGUGAAACAUCUCAGUACCAGGUGGAAAAGAGAACAACGCCGAUGUUACAGUCGGCGUCCCGACCUUGCGUCGGGAUGUUAUUCCCUUAGUAGCGGCGAGCGAAAAGGGAAAAGCCCAAACCUAGCGCAUCUCACUAAGGUGAGAUGCUAAGAAUUAAAAAUUAAAAAAUCAAAAUGUAAAAUUAUUGUAUUCGCUUUGCUCAUGAUUUAAAUUGUCGCGAAGCGACACAUAAAUUUUUCAUUUUUCAUUUUUAUUUUUGAUUUUAAGCGCCGAGCUUUAGUGAGGUGCGUUGGGGGUUGUAAGAGACAGCGAUGGUUUACCAAGAAAGUAAAAUGAUUUUGUUAGCUGAACCGGCUGGAAAGCCGGACCAAAGAGGGUAAUGGUCCCGUAAGCGAAAACAAAAUCAUGCUUUCAGCUGUCAUCUUGAGUAAUUCGGGACACGAAUGGCCCGGGUGAAUCAUCCGGAACUAACCGGAAAGGCUAAAUACUCUUUGAGAUCGAUAGUGAACAAGUACCGCGAGGGAAAGGUGAAAAGCAGCCCGGUGAGGGCGAUGAAAUAGAACCUGAAACCAUAUGUCUACAAGGAAUCGGAGCGUUCGUUUCGCUUUGCGAAUCGAACUUAAUCUCAAAACUCAAAUGUCAAAUCUCAAAACUAUGGAAUCCGCCACGGCGGAUGAUUUAUAAAAAUCACGAGCGAGGCGAGUACUAAAGUUUUGACUUUUGCGUUUUGAAUUUUGAGUUUAAGCGCGAAGCGAAGCGAGCGCGACGGUGUGCCUAUUGAAGAAUGAGCCAACGAGUUAAUUUGCGCUGCUUGCUUAAGUCGUAAAUCGAUGGAGGCGCAGCGAAAGCGAGUCUUAAAAGGCGUCGUAGCGCAAAUUAGACCCGAAACCAAGUGAUCUUACCAUGGACAGGAUGAAUCUCGCGGAAACGCGGGAGGAGGUCCGCACCGGUUAGCCGUGCAAAACUAUCGGACGAUCUGUGGUAUGGAGUGAAAAGCUCAUCGAACUUGGUAAUAGCUGGUUCUCUCCGAAAUAGCUUUAGGGCUAGCGUCCGUUUUACCUUCUGGGGGUAGAGCACUGGAUGGUCUGCAUAGGGAGAAAUCUCGGCAGACCAAUCAAACUCCGAAUACCGGAAGGCAUCAGACGGGCAGUCAGACCGUGGGGGCUAAGCUUCACUGGUCAAAAGGGGAACAGCCCGAAUCUCAAUCUAAGGUCCCUAAAUCUCUGCUAAGUGUACUUAAGGAAGUGGAAUUUCGAUGACAGCGAGGAGGUUGGCUUAGAAGCAGCCAUCCUUCAAAGAGUGCGUAACAGCUCACUCGCUAAGAGAUUCCGCGCCGCAAAUAAUCGGGACUAAAGCAGAGUACCGAAGGUGAGGGCUUGUGCGUAGCACAAGCAAGUUCAUAAAGUAUAAAGUUCAUAAAGUUCAUAAAGUUUAUAAGGAAACGUAAUUUCUUUUAAAACUUUAUAAACUUUAAACUUUAUAACUUUAUUGACUUGCUCGCGCUGCGCGUGAGCGGUAGGAGAGUAUUCAUAUCUGCUGUGAAGUUCACGGGGUGACCCGGAAUGGAGCGUUAUGAAGUAAGAAUGUUGGCACAAGUAACCACAAUUCCGAUGAAAUAUCGGAACGCCGCAAACCUCAGGUUUCCUUGGCAAUGUUAAUCAACCAAGGGUUAGUCGGGCCUAAGCCGAUGGCGAAAGCCGCAGGCGAUGGACAAACGGUUAAUAUUCCGUUACCUCCUUAUUUUUUCGAUGGAGUGACGGAGGUUAGUAUGUUGAGCGCAUUAUUGGAUUUGCGUUAUUGGCGCAAGGAAUUUCGGCAGGUAAAUCCGCCGAGUUUCCGCAAGGAAGAUUCCAAGCGCAGAUAAAACGCUUCGCUUUCGGGCGGAGUAAUUCAACAAAGCAGCCUCCCAAGAAAAGCUUCUAGAGUUAAAGAUAAGGAGUCCGUACCGAAAACCGACACAGGUAGGUGAGUCGAGUAGACUAAGGCGAACGGGUGAGUGUUUCCCAAGGAACUAGGCAAAAAAGCGACCGUAACUUCGGGAUAAGGUCUCCCUAGCGCAUCUCACUAAGGUGAGAUGCUAAGAAUUAAAAAUUAAAAAAUCAAAAUGUAAAAUUAUUGUAUUCGCUUUGCUCAUGAUUUAAAUUGUCGUGAAGCGACACAUAAAUUUUUCAUUUUUCAUUUUUCAUUUUUAUUUUUUAUUUUAAGCACCGAACUUUUGUGAGGUGCGUUGGGGCGCAGCGAAAGUUCCUCUGGCGACUGUUUACCAAAAACACAGCUCCCUGCUAACUCGUAAGAGGAUGUAUAGGGGGUGACGCUUGACCAAUGCGAGAAGGUCAAAAUGCGCUGGUCUCAUCAGUAAUGGUGAGGCUGCCGUGCAUUAAGCCCUCGUGAAUGUCGGCCGUAACUAUAACGGUCCUAAGGUAGCGAAAUUCCUUGUCAGGUAAGUUCUGACGCGCACGAAUAGCGUAACGACUGGAGGACUGUCUCGGGAAACAGCCCGGUGAAAAUACAAUACCGGUGAAGAUGCCGGUUACCUGCAGCUAGACGAAAAGACCCCGGAAGCUUUACUACAACUUGGUAUUGGCUUUAGGUUUUUAAUGCGUAGCAUAGGCGGGAGGCUUUGAAGUGUUCCUUUUGGGGGACAUGGAGCCGCCAGUGAAAUACCGCUCUUUAAAAAUCUAAAAUCUAACCUCAGCGGCAAAAACGCUGGGAGACAGUGCCUGGCGGGUAGUUUGAUUGGGGCGAUUCCCUCCUAAAAAGUAACGGAGGGGUCUACAAAGGUCGGCUAGGCGCGGAUGGAAACCGUGCCGAUAGUGUAAUGGCAAAAGCCGGCUUAACUGCAAGACGGACAGGUCGAGCAGAUGCGAAAGCAGAGCAUAGUGAACCGACCAUGCGCAUUAGACGCGGUGGAGGAUUAACGGAUAAAAGCUACUCCGGGGAUAACAGGCUGGUAGUGCCCAAGAGUUCAUAUCGACGGCACUGUUCGGCACCUUAACAUAUCGGGGUGCGGCGCGAGAAAUCGCGCAGCCGGGUCAAAGCAUAUUAGGAGAAUGUGUUUUGAUUGAAAUAUUGGCUUAUAACGGUGAACUCCAUGCUAUUAUAUAUACAUGGACAAUACCGUGGGAAGUCUAAUUCAAUAUCAGAAAUCUAUUGUUGUGUUGAUAAAAUGUAUAAUUGAAUUAUGACCCUGUAGAGACUUGUCAUUAUUAAUAUGACGGAGUUUUCAUUUUUUAAAGUGGAAGCUAAGACGCCAACCCCUGUCUUUGGAUUUUGACAGGGUGAAGAUAUAGUCCGAUCCUGCCGGUAACGGCAGAAAAACAAACAGCGAUGUCGGCUCAACCUAUCCUGGGGCUGGAGAAGGUCCCAAGGGUUUGGCUGUUCGCCAAUUAAAAGGUUACGUGAGCUGGGUUCAAACCGUCAAUUUGGCGGCUCCCGAUAGUAAUAUCGGGAUGCAAAAUCGACUCAUAUCGGUGGAUUCCUAAUAAUACAAUUGUGUUUCAACCUGUCGUAUGUUAGGAUAAUACCGAGGGAAGUUGUGUAUGCAAAACAAAAUUUCGUCAACAACAAUGGCGUAUCUUGCUGGAUUUUUGGAUGGCGAUGGAAGUAUCUACGUGAGGCUUAAACCGAAUUCUACUUAUAAGUAUGGAUUUCAGGUUGCUCCUUAUGUAGUUUUCUUUCAAUCAUCAAAAAGCAAAGAAAAUUUUGAGAAAGCGUGUUCUUUAAUGAACUUUGGUUAUACCAGGGAGCGAAAAGAUGGAAUUAUGGAAUUCAUAAUUGGUAAAAACGAAGAUAUAAAGAAAUUUCUCAAAAUUGUUAAGCCCUAUUCCAUAAUGAAAAAACAGCAAAUACUUCUUAUGAUUGAAAUACUUGAUUUUAAAGAAAAAAUUAAAAGCAAGGAAGAAUUUGAAGUGUUGAUAAAAUUAAUAAAUCGUUUUCAGGAAUUAAAUUAUUCUAAAAAACGAAAAUUGCGUGCAUUAACCCCGUAGAGACUUGUCAGUUUAACUGGCAGAGUCGUUGCAGUGAAAGUCUGCGACGGCUAACACGUCGAUUAUCCCUUUUUAAGGGAUAGUGGUAUAGUCCAUACAUUUAGUAAUAAAUGAAGAUAAUAUGCGUGAGACAGGUUGGUCUCCUAUCUGCUGCAGGCGUUUGAUUCUUGAGGAGCUCUGCUCUUUGUACGAGAGGAUCAGAGUGGACCGACCUCUGGUGUGCCGGCUGUCCUGCCAAGGGCAACGCCGGGUAGCUAUGUCGGGAAGGGAUAAUCGCUGAAAGCAUCUAAGCGAGAAACCCGCUCCAAGAUUAGGAAUCUUAGACAGGUUGUAGAUGACGACCUCGAUAGGCUCUAGGUGUACGCGCGGUAACGCGCUUAGCCGAGGAGUACUAAUUGUCUUUUC